This 391-nucleotide ribosomal RNA is filed under the name Rungwecebus kipunji (Highland mangabey). RNAcentral's name for it is "partial 12S ribosomal RNA". It matches the Rfam family "Bacterial small subunit ribosomal RNA", at positions 794 to 1384 of the family's 1533-position model. Lineage: Eukaryota; Metazoa; Chordata; Mammalia; Primates; Cercopithecidae. The record is from RNAcentral.
GCUUGGCCCUAAACCUCAAUAGUCAAGACAACAAAACUAUUCGCCAGAAUACUACAAGCAACAGCUUAAAACUCAAAGGACUUGGCGGUGCUUCAUACCCCCUAGAGGAGCCUGUUCCAUAAUCGAUAAACCCCGAUCCACCCUACCCUCUCUUGCUUAGUCUAUAUACCGCCAUCUUCAGCAAACCCUGAUGAAGGCUACGAAGUGAGCGCAAAUGCCCUUCCCCGCAAAAACGUUAGGUCAAGGUGUAACCUAUGAGACGGUAAAAAAUGGGCUACAUUUUCUACUUCAGAAAACCCCACGAUAGCUCUUAUGAAAUCUAAGAGCCCAAGGAGGAUUUAGCAGUAAAUUAAGAAUAGAGUGCUUAAUUGAACCAGGCCAUAAAGCACGC